GACGAACGCUGGCGGCGCGCCUAACACAUGCAAGUCGAACGGAGCUGCGAGAAGCUUGCUUUUCUUAGCUUAGUGGCGAACGGGUGAGUAACGCGUGAGUAACCUGCCCUGGAGUGGGGGACAACAGUUGGAAACGACUGCUAAUACCGCAUAAGCCCACGAUCCGGCAUCGGAUUGAGGGAAAAGGAUUUAUUCGCUUCAGGAUGGACUCGCGUCCAAUUAGCUAGUUGGUGAGGUAACGGCCCACCAAGGCGACGAUUGGUAGCCGGACUGAGAGGUUGAACGGCCACAUUGGGACUGAGACACGGCCCAGACUCCUACGGGAGGCAGCAGUGGGGGAUAUUGCACAAUGGGGGAAACCCUGAUGCAGCGACGCCGCGUGGAGGAAGAAGGUUUUCGGAUUGUAAACUCCUGUCGUUAGGGACGAUAAUGACGGUACCUAACAAUAAAGCACCGGCUAACUACGUG
RNAcentral lists this ribosomal RNA (468 nucleotides) under uncultured bacterium. RNAcentral's name for it is "partial 16S ribosomal RNA". It matches the Rfam family "Bacterial small subunit ribosomal RNA", at positions 28 to 507 of the family's 1533-position model. The record is from RNAcentral.